Molecule: long non-coding RNA, 2994 nt
Organism: Triticum aestivum (bread wheat)
Lineage: Eukaryota; Viridiplantae; Streptophyta; Magnoliopsida; Poales; Poaceae
Exons: 5
Source: RefSeq, a predicted model, not a curated record
GGUCGUUGGAAUUGCUGCCCCGCACGAGAAAGCGAGGGUUUCCUUCCCCGCCGCGACCCCAUAUCCCUCCGCUCUACGGUGCCCCUCCUCGCUCCACGGUCGCGGAAUCCGGACGAGAUCGGCAGGAUCCACUCUCGGGCGAGGGUUUUCUCUCUAUAAGUCGCUGCCUCGACCCAUGGGAACUCCGACGAACGGUGUACAUGCCGGCAACCGGCGGGCCGGCGGAUUGGCUCCAGCCGCGUCCACCCUCACCUCCUCGUCCAUGACCUACUCUGCCCGGACGCCCGAGGUGACCGCGUGAUAUCAGAGAAGAUGCUAUUUUUUCAGAAAAAAAGGAAAGUAGGAUUUGAACGCCAUCCGCGAGUCCUCCAUCUAAGAGUUUCAGAAAUAUGGUAGUAGUCCAUAUAGAGUACAAGAGCUGACCAAUGUGGAGGCGUGGAGCAGACUGACAACGGAAAUACACAGGCUCAUGCCUUUAUUCUCCAUGUUUGCUAAAAGAGAGCUGCCCAGGAGCAACCAUGGAUGCUCCGCGUUCAAGGUGUACAAGGCCGAUUUGGAGUGGUUCCCUCGCAAGCCCCUGCUAUUCCCCACCUCUCGCGGGGUUCUACAUCUAGAUUGUUUUCUUCAGUGGCAGGAAGGUGAGUGGGAGCACCAUAUGUCAGGGAGUUUUGGUUUAAAGAGAGAUCACUGGGGAUGAGUUCACGACCAUGUUCCUGCUCAUUUUUGGCGAUAUGGUUCAGAGAGUGGUAACUAUUUGGUCAAACAAACAUCUUCCUGUCUUGAUAUGCCUUUUUACUUUUUGUUAUUUGUGAGAACUUUUAGUACACGUUUUUGUCAUAGCUAGAACUUCUGACAGCUUUGAAGCAAGAAUGUUCAGAGAAAUUGUUCCAUGGAAUAGCUAAACGAUAAUACUAUUAUUGAUUUAUGAUAGUUUGCACAUACAGAAAUAGAUAUAUUCAAGCCUGUAAUGGCUAACAGCCAAAAGUGCGAAUCUAUUCUUGAUACUCUUUUCCCCUUCUCUUAAAAUCAUCAUAUAAAAAUUAUAAGCUUUCUAACAUCUGCAUAUUUCGAGUUUCCAAGGAGGUACAGAUAGCAAAGUUCAAACAAUUCAGUGCAGCAGCAGCAACACCUCCAAGGACGCUGGGCUCGCAUGGUCUAGGCCACUAUCGAUUUGUUUCUCUUGGUCGAUGGCCUCUUUCGCCUAUGGUCGGAUCUGCGCGUCAGCGUCCACAGGAGGACUAGGAUCUGGCUGUGCUCCACGACCAUCACAACCAAGCCGGGGAGCGCCAGAGAUCACAACUUGAAAAUUUUAACUGCAAUAUUUGUUGGUCAGUGUCCUCUGAAAUUGUUCGUAAGGUAGUGCUCUAUUCUGUAUAGCAUCCUUGGAAUAUUGUGUGGUGUGAUGCUUUAUUUAUAAAGCGGGGCGUAUAGCCCUUUUUGUUAUUCUGUAUAACAAAGGGAAAGAGCCUCAGUUUGGUAUAGCAAUGGGGGUGAUCCUUCGUUGGAAGAAACAUUAGACUUACUGUUUUUUUAUACUAGCAUAGUGUUGGUUGUUAAUUUUAAGUGUAUCAUCAGUUUUUUCAGCCAAUGAAGUUAUGCUCACGACAUGGAGAACUUCAAGGACAACCUGCCUGAACAGUUUCUACCUGAUUAGUGAACUAGGCCAUUUACUAUACAAAUAGUUAUUUUGUUGCAAGUUACGCCCGUUGCUUCUAAAUACUACACUUUUGGUUGCAUUUUGUAACUAAGAAUGACACAAGCAGACUCUAAAACAUUCGAGCAAUGCCCAAGGUUAGUACAGGAAGCAUAGUAGUUUGCUUUAGUAGAAAUUAUAUUCCUUUUUCCACUACUGUGAACAUGGACGUGAGUAGGUAAUUGCUCCUAAAAAAACCUAAUUAAUGUAUUGUUGAACCUAAUUUUGAGAUGAUUUUUAUUCUACCAUUGUACAGUGCACAUUAGCAUCGUCUAAAUACAUAUGUCUCUGGGGGUUUCUUUUUGGUGGCAAAUUGAUUCUUGCAAUCAUAGCGGAAGGCCAGCAAUAAGGCACUUUACACUGAUGAAAUUUGCAUAAGUAUUCCUCUUUGUGAUACGAUUUCACCAAAAGUUUCAACAUUAAGAUGUUUACUUAGUUAAACCCGAACUGAUGCACCCACCCAUACAUGUAUAAGCUCCAAAAAAAUAAAACAAUAUGCAAAGAAUUUUUCAGCUUUCGGGCUAUAAGCAUUAGACAUUUUCAAAAGAAAUGUUGAAUGUUAGUAUCAAUUGAAUCAAUUUGACCUUAACACAGUGCAGGUACUGUUAAAUCUGUAGUUGUAAUUUAUUCAUCUGUGACUUGAUUUUCUUUUCACUUCUGUUUUUAUAAAUUCAUGUAGUUGGCUAUAAUAAUGAUAUUUUUUUCUUUUGAGAGAGAAAUUGUGUGUCUGCUCUGGUUUCAGUUUUAACGUCAGCUCGUUACAAUCCGUAACUACUUAUAGACUACUUCAUCCGGAUGGGUUUGCAACUUUGUGUACAGACUGCUUCAACACUUCUAUUUUCUAUAGGACUUGGAUUAAUAAUCUCCAACAAUAUGGUCAUGCUUCUUAUAUUCACUUUCAGUUCUAAAUACAUUUGUGCUUUUCUCUGUGUUGUACUACUAAACUAUGUGUGCUAAACUGAACAUAAAAAUAUGAUGGGGUGGUGGUUUCAGCCAUAGAAAUAAUUGAUUUGGAGAACAAAGGAAAUUUUCGACGGACGAAGAACUCGCUCGAGAUGCUUCAGUGAUGAUUUUAUAUAGCAUUUUAUCUAAACCUGGGUUCCUUCUUUCAGACUGGACGGUGCCAUAUGAUGUGAAGCCGGUGUAAUAACUUUUUCAUUUGGCAUCAGUGGUGAUGUGGCAACCUUUUAGACAAUUUGCCACCUGUAACACAAUGUAAAACCUCAUACGAGCUGAUUGCCUUCUUGGUAGUUGUUGCGGCUUCUGAAUUAAGUGUACCACUAUGUUUAAAACGCCAUGAU